AUUAAAAACCAAUGCCCUUCGGGGCUCACUGGUGAUUCAUGAUAACUCCUCGAAUCGCAUGGCCUUGUGCCGGCGAUGGUUCAUUCAAAUUUCUUCCCUAUCAACUUUCGAUGUUUGGGUAUUGGCCAAACAUGGUUGCAACGGGUAACGGAGGGUUAGGGCUCGACCCCGGAGAAGGAGCCUGAGAAACGGCUACUACAUCCAAGGAAGGCAGCAGGCGCGCAAAUUACCCAAUCCCGACACGGGGAGGUAGUGACAAUAAAUACUGAUACAGGGCUCUUUUGGGUCUUGUAAUUGGAAUGAGUACAAUUUAAAUCCCUUAACGAGGAACAAUUGGAGGGCGAGUCUGGUGCCAGCAGCCGCGGUAAUUCCAGCUCCAAUAGCGUAUAUUAAAGUUGUUGUGGUUAAAAAGCUCGUAGUUGAACCUUGGGCCUGGCUGGCCGGUCCGCCUCACCGCGUGUACUGGUCCGGCCGGGCCUUUCCCUCUGUGGAACCCCAUGCCCUUCACUGGGUGUGGC
RNAcentral lists this ribosomal RNA (518 nucleotides) under uncultured fungus. RNAcentral describes it as "SSU rRNA". It matches the Rfam family "Eukaryotic small subunit ribosomal RNA", at positions 214 to 732 of the family's 1831-position model. Lineage: Eukaryota; Fungi. The record is from RNAcentral.